Molecule: transfer RNA, 84 nt
Filed under: bacterium
Lineage: Bacteria
Also listed under: 2 other names
Description: tRNA-Leu
Rfam family: tRNA
About the family: Transfer RNA (tRNA) molecules are approximately 80 nucleotides in length. Their secondary structure includes four short double-helical elements and three loops (D, anti-codon, and T loops).
Source: RNAcentral
GCCGGGGUGGCGGAAUUGGUAGACGCGCAGGCUUGAGGGGCUUGUGGGCUUAGUCCCGUGCGGGUUCAAGUCCCGCCCCCGGCA